This 1035-nucleotide long non-coding RNA is filed under the name Coturnix japonica (Japanese quail). RNAcentral describes it as "lncRNA (ENSCJPG00005009560.1)". Lineage: Eukaryota; Metazoa; Chordata; Aves; Galliformes; Phasianidae. The record is from RNAcentral.
CUCAGCAUUUGAUGAAUGACAUAAAUGAGCUCUGAUACUUUAAAAAGCCUCAGUGAAGAGUAGUUGCUAGUAGUCAUUGCACUGAAGAAGGACCCCAGCUAGAAAAGCCUUGACUCUUAUUUUGUAAUGAUGCAUCCAAUUGAGGAAACAGGAAUUCCAGGAGCUGCUCUGCCUGGGGUUAAAUACCUUUCCUUCUUGCUGAAGGUGUCCCAGACCACCAGCUGUGGAGAUGACUACCACAAGCAACAUGAUGUGCGGAAACAGACUGAUUUCUCCUGCUACUUCUUUUGGUACAGAACCUUUUCCCCCAUAAUAUCUUCACUCAAGAUUUUCAGAGGCCUACAUUUAUUUGCAUUUCUUUCCUCAGUGUGGACAACAAAGAAUUCCUCCAGAGCCACUGUGUUUUGUCUCAACUGACUUCAUGAGAAACUGAGGUUCUUAUGUUUGCUGUUGGGAAAUGCAGAAGCCCAUUUGAGAGAUUUAUGUAGUUAGGAAAAUGUACAAGCCACGCAUGUACAGCCCCACACAGCUGUAAUGAUUGUCUGCAGUCUGUCUCACCUGCCUCUGUGAAGUGUUUAGUCAGGCUUUGAUCAUCUUCAUUUUGGCUAUUCCAGUGCUGUCAGUGUGAAGUGGUGGAGCAUAAAGUAGUUGAUGUGUCUGUAUCCUGCUUUAAAAUUGUCAGCUUGUGAACACAUGGUAGAAUGUUUCAACACAAACUCAAAAGCACAAAUGAUUUUCUGACAAGAUGAGAUAAAAGCAUAGUGAAAAGCAACUGGUCAGAAUUUACUGGGAUGUUUGUAGAGCAUUUUGCAGAACAAGACAGAAAGACAGUAUUGUAAAUGAAUGACAAGGAAUCCCUGCUGAAAUUCAUUCCUCAUAUUUUCUGCACAAAUGGUUUAGACCCAGGAAAUUUUCUGGUUUUGUAACUUUUUGUUGGUUUGUUGUUUCAGUUUGUGUUGGUUUUUUUUUCUUUCUUCUCAUGUAAGUAAUACAGUUAACAUAGUAAGUGGAUUCAGAUUAAAAUCUACAAAGCUC